Long non-coding RNA from Bradysia coprophila, 255 nucleotides. The record is from RefSeq and is a predicted model, not a curated record. NCBI's taxonomy places the organism in Eukaryota, Metazoa, Arthropoda, Insecta, Diptera, Sciaridae.
CCUGUCACAGACGGCAAGCAUAUUAAAAGUGGUACUAUUCAAACUAUUACUUCAUUUGAUCGAAGAUUUUCAGAGAUUGUUUUCAGAAAUCCUUUACUUCAUUUGUUUUUAACAUGCUUUUUGCUACAUAAGACCUCAUUAGUUAGAGCUUGUAGUUUAUUAUUGCUGUCGUUGUCUAUAACAGAUGACAGCCGUCUAUAACAGGUUAAGGGUGUACAUUCGGAGCUCAAGUUUUAAAAAUGUAGAAUUCGUACA